AUUGAACGCUGGCGGCAUGCUUUACACAUGCAAGUCGGACGGCAGCACAGAGAAGCUUGCUUCUUGGGUGGCGAGUGGCGAACGGGUGAGUAAUAUAUCGGAACGUACCGAGUAAUGGGGGAUAACUAAUCGAAAGAUUAGCUAAUACCGCAUAUUCUCUGAGGAGGAAAGCAGGGGACCUUCGGGCCUUGCGUUAUUCGAGCGGCCGAUAUCUGAUUAGCUAGUUGGUGGGGUAAAGGCCUACCAAGGCGACGAUCAGUAGCGGGUCUGAGAGGAUGAUCCGCCACACUGGGACUGAGACACGGCCCAGACUCCUACGGGAGGCAGCAGUGGGGAAUUUUGGACAAUGGGCGCAAGCCUGAUCCAGCCAUGCCGCGUGUCUGAAGAAGGCCUUCGGGUUGUAAAGGACUCUUGUCAGGGAAGAAAAGGCUGUUGCUAAUAUCGACAGCUGAUGACGGUACCUGAAGAAUAAGCACCGGCUAACUACGUG
This 490-nucleotide ribosomal RNA is filed under the name uncultured bacterium. Its description in RNAcentral is "partial 16S ribosomal RNA". It matches the Rfam family "Bacterial small subunit ribosomal RNA", at positions 30 to 507 of the family's 1533-position model. The record is from RNAcentral.